CUUCGGGAAACGGGCUCUAAUCGCGGAUAAUAUUGAGCUUCGCGGGACGCAAUAGUGAAAGACGGUUCCGCUGUCUCUUAUAGGGGGCCCCGCGGUGUAUUAGCUAGUGGGUGGGGUAACGGCUCACCAGGGCAACGAUACAUACCCGACCUGAGGGGGUGAUCGGCCACUGUGGGAGUGAGACAGGGCCCACACUCCUAGGGGGGGCAGCAGUGGGGAAUCUUCCGCAGUGGACAAACGUCUGACAGAACCCCCCCGCGUGAGUGAAAAAGGUUUUCGGAUCAUAAAACUCUGUUGUAAGGAAAAAACAAGUACGUUAGUAACUGAACGUACCUUGACGGCCCCUUACCAAAAAGCCACGGCUAACUACGUGCCAGCCCCCGCGGUAAUACGUAGGUGGCAAGCGUUAUCCGGAAUUAUUGGGCGUAAAGCGCGCGUAGGCGGUUUUUUAACUCUGAUGUGAAAGCCCCCGGCUCACCCGGGGAGGGUCAUUGAAAACUGGAAGACUUGAGUGCAAAAGAAGAGAGUGAAUUUCCGUGUGUAGCGGAAAAAUGCACAGAUAUAUGGAAGAACACCAGUGGCGAGGGCGUCUCUCUGGUCUGUCUCUGACUCUGAUGUGCAAAAGCGUGGGGAUCACACGAGAUUAUACCCCGUGGUACCCCACCCCAAACACGAUGAGUGCUAAGUGUU
This 690-nucleotide ribosomal RNA is filed under the name Macrococcoides caseolyticum. RNAcentral's name for it is "Macrococcus caseolyticus partial 16S ribosomal RNA". It matches the Rfam family "Bacterial small subunit ribosomal RNA", at positions 147 to 824 of the family's 1533-position model. Lineage: Bacteria; Bacillati; Bacillota; Bacilli; Caryophanales; Staphylococcaceae. The record is from RNAcentral.